RNAcentral lists this ribosomal RNA (272 nucleotides) under uncultured Lachnospiraceae bacterium. RNAcentral's name for it is "partial 16S ribosomal RNA". It matches the Rfam family "Bacterial small subunit ribosomal RNA", at positions 73 to 339 of the family's 1533-position model. The record is from RNAcentral. Lineage: Bacteria; Bacillati; Bacillota; Clostridia; Lachnospirales; Lachnospiraceae.
UUCUUCGGAUGAAGAGGUUUGUGACUGAGUGGCGGACGGGUGAGUAACGCGUGGGUAACCUGCCUCAUACAGGGGGAUAACAGUUAGAAAUGACUGCUAAUACCGCAUAAAACAGCAGCACCGCAUGGUGCAACUGUCAAAGAUUUAUCGGUGUAAGAUGGACCCGCGUCUGAUUAGCCAGUUGGUGGGGUAACGGCCUACCAAAGCGACGAUCAGUAGCCGACCUGAGAGGGUGACCGGCCACAUUGGGACUGAGACACGGCCCAAACUCC